This 725-nucleotide long non-coding RNA is filed under the name Homo sapiens (human). Its description in RNAcentral is "HSALNT0003668". Lineage: Eukaryota; Metazoa; Chordata; Mammalia; Primates; Hominidae. The record is from RNAcentral.
CAAGAAGAGGGGAAUCUUUAUUUUGGUUAAAAAAAAAAAAGGUACAGGAUAGCAGACAAGCAGCCCCCAGCCCUGGGCUCAGCUGAUUUUCCUUGGCUCAGCUCUUUCCUUUAGUCCCCUGAAGUGUAUGGGGCUGUGCACGGCUAGCUUGGUCCCUCAGUGCCUAGAGCAAAGGAGGCACGCACCCUCCCUACAUCCUACCUACUCUGGUGGAGGGUUGGGGGUGGGAGGUGGACAGGCCGUGGGAACAGUAUCAAGCCAGUUGUGCUUAGAACAGUCACCAAACUUGUUCAGCAGCGUCAUCCACCAUCAACACCCCAGACAGCUCCUGAGGAAACCUGCUGGGCUUGACUAUGGCUAUGCCUGAUCUGAGGGGGUGGAGGGGCAGGCUCUAAGGCCAGAUUCCUAGUCUUGACACCUCACAAAUCCGGGAAGGGGAAGUCAGUGGAGGAGAGAGGGAGCAUAUCAGCGUAGAGUCACAUUAUUGUGCUGAUGGCUGCGUUAUGGCUUUCUACACUCUGGCCGGCAUGGAGCGGGAAUGGGGCAAAGAGGCCAGCCCCUGCCCCCUAUGGGGGUCCUAGAGAGCACACAGGCCGGGCAGGCUGGGGGGCAGACCCUGUAGGCACAGAUGGUGGCAGAUGGGCCACAGGUUAGGCAGGUGGAGGUGCCGGGUGCCUGGCUCCCCCCAGGCCAUUCCUGGAGAGGGUUAGCAGGCCUGGGAGGAG